This 255-nucleotide ribosomal RNA is filed under the name uncultured bacterium. RNAcentral describes it as "partial 16S ribosomal RNA". It matches the Rfam family "Bacterial small subunit ribosomal RNA", at positions 524 to 777 of the family's 1533-position model. The record is from RNAcentral.
UACGUAGGGUGCGAGCGUUAAUCGGAAUUACUGGGCGUAAAGCGUGCGUAGGUGGUUUUUUAAGUCCGUUGUGAAAGCCCUGGGCUCAACCUGGGAAUGGCAGUGGAUACUGGAAAGCUAGAGUGCGGUAGAGGGGUAGUGGAAUUCCCGGUGUAGCAGUGAAAUGCGUAGAGAUCGGGAGGAACACCAGUGGCGAAGGCGGCUACCUGGACCAGCACUGACACUGAGGCACGAAAGCGUGGGGAGCAAACAGGG